RNAcentral lists this ribosomal RNA (2808 nucleotides) under Salmonella enterica subsp. enterica serovar Bareilly str. CFSAN000203. RNAcentral describes it as "bacterial LSU rRNA". It matches the Rfam family "Bacterial large subunit ribosomal RNA". Lineage: Bacteria; Pseudomonadati; Pseudomonadota; Gammaproteobacteria; Enterobacterales; Enterobacteriaceae. The record is from RNAcentral.
GGGUUGUGAGGUUAAGCGACUAAGCGUACACGGUGGAUGCCCUGGCAGUCAGAGGCGAUGAAGGGCGUGCUAAUCUGCGAUAAGCGCCGGUAAGGUGAUAUGAACCGUUAUAACCGGCGAUACCCGAAUGGGGAAACCCAGUGUGAUUCGUCACACUAUCAUUAACUGAAUCCAUAGGUUAAUGAGGCGAACCGGGGGAACUGAAACAUCUAAGUACCCCGAGGAAAAGAAAUCAACCGAGAUUCCCCCAGUAGCGGCGAGCGAACGGGGAGGAGCCCAGAGCCUGAAUCAGCAUGUGUGUUAGUGGAAGCGUCUGGAAAGGCGCGCGAUACAGGGUGACAGCCCCGUACACAAAAGCGCAUGUGCUGUGAGCUCGAUGAGUAGGGCGGGACACGUGGUAUCCUGUCUGAAUAUGGGGGGACCAUCCUCCAAGGCUAAAUACUCCUGACUGACCGAUAGUGAACCAGUACCGUGAGGGAAAGGCGAAAAGAACCCCGGCGAGGGGAGUGAAAAAGAACCUGAAACCGUGUACGUACAAGCAGUGGGAGCACAGGUUUACCUGUGUGACUGCGUACCUUUUGUAUAAUGGGUCAGCGACUUAUAUUCUGUAGCAAGGUUAACCGUAUAGGGGAGCCGGAGGGAAACCGAGUCUUAAUUGGGCGUUAAGUUGCAGGGUAUAGACCCGAAACCCGGUGAUCUAGCCAUGGGCAGGUUGAAGGUUGGGUAACACUAACUGGAGGACCGAACCGACUAAUGUUGAAAAAUUAGCGGAUGACCUGUGGCUGGGGGUGAAAGGCCAAUCAAACCGGGAGAUAGCUGGUUCUCCCCGAAAGCUAUUUAGGUAGCGCCUCGUGAAUUCAUCUCCGGGGGUAGAGCACUGUUUCGGCUAGGGGGCCAUCCCGGCUUACCAACCCGAUGCAAACUGCGAAUACCGGAGAAUGUUAUCACGGGAGACACACGGCGGGUGCUAACGUCCGUCGUGAAGAGGGAAACAACCCAGACCGCCAGCUAAGGUCCCAAAGUCAUGGUUAAGUGGGAAACGAUGUGGGAAGGCCCAGACAGCCAGGAUGUUGGCUUAGAAGCAGCCAUCAUUUAAAGAAAGCGUAAUAGCUCACUGGUCGAGUCGGCCUGCGCGGAAGAUGUAACGGGGCUAAACCAUGCACCGAAGCUGCGGCAGCGACGUUUAUGCGUUGUUGGGUAGGGGAGCGUUCUGUAAGCCUGCGAAGGUGGCCUGUGAGGGUUGCUGGAGGUAUCAGAAGUGCGAAUGCUGACAUAAGUAACGAUAAAGCGGGUGAAAAGCCCGCUCGCCGGAAGACCAAGGGUUCCUGUCCAACGUUAAUCGGGGCAGGGUGAGUCGACCCCUAAGGCGAGGCCGAAAGGCGUAGUCGAUGGGAAACGGGUUAAUAUUCCCGUACUUGGUGUUACUGCGAAGGGGGGACGGAGAAGGCUAUGUUGGCCGGGCGACGGUUGUCCCGGUUUAAGCGUGUAGGCUGGUUUUCCAGGCAAAUCCGGAAAAUCAAGGCUGAGGCGUGACGACGAGGCACUACGGUGCUGAAGCAACAAAUGCCCUGCUUCCAGGAAAAGCCUCUAAGCAUCAGGUAACAUCAAAUCGUACCCCAAACCGACACAGGUGGUCAGGUAGAGAAUACCAAGGCGCUUGAGAGAACUCGGGUGAAGGAACUAGGCAAAAUGGUGCCGUAACUUCGGGAGAAGGCACGCUGACACGUAGGUGAAGUGAUUUACUCAUGGAGCUGAAGUCAGUCGAAGAUACCAGCUGGCUGCAACUGUUUAUUAAAAACACAGCACUGUGCAAACACGAAAGUGGACGUAUACGGUGUGACGCCUGCCCGGUGCCGGAAGGUUAAUUGAUGGGGUCAGCGCAAGCGAAGCUCCUGAUCGAAGCCCCGGUAAACGGCGGCCGUAACUAUAACGGUCCUAAGGUAGCGAAAUUCCUUGUCGGGUAAGUUCCGACCUGCACGAAUGGCGUAAUGAUGGCCAGGCUGUCUCCACCCGAGACUCAGUGAAAUUGAACUCGCUGUGAAGAUGCAGUGUACCCGCGGCAAGACGGAAAGACCCCGUGAACCUUUACUAUAGCUUGACACUGAACAUUGAGCCUUGAUGUGUAGGAUAGGUGGGAGGCUUUGAAGUGUGGACGCCAGUCUGCAUGGAGCCGACCUUGAAAUACCACCCUUUAAUGUUUGAUGUUCUAACGUGGACCCGUAAUCCGGGUUGCGGACAGUGUCUGGUGGGUAGUUUGACUGGGGCGGUCUCCUCCUAAAGAGUAACGGAGGAGCACGAAGGUUGGCUAAUCCUGGUCGGACAUCAGGAGGUUAGUGCAAUGGCAUAAGCCAGCUUGACUGCGAGCGUGACGGCGCGAGCAGGUGCGAAAGCAGGUCAUAGUGAUCCGGUGGUUCUGAAUGGAAGGGCCAUCGCUCAACGGAUAAAAGGUACUCCGGGGAUAACAGGCUGAUACCGCCCAAGAGUUCAUAUCGACGGCGGUGUUUGGCACCUCGAUGUCGGCUCAUCACAUCCUGGGGCUGAAGUAGGUCCCAAGGGUAUGGCUGUUCGCCAUUUAAAGUGGUACGCGAGCUGGGUUUAGAACGUCGUGAGACAGUUCGGUCCCUAUCUGCCGUGGGCGCUGGAGAACUGAGGGGGGCUGCUCCUAGUACGAGAGGACCGGAGUGGACGCAUCACUGGUGUUCGGGUUGUCAUGCCAAUGGCACUGCCCGGUAGCUAAAUGCGGAAGAGAUAAGUGCUGAAAGCAUCUAAGCACGAAACUUGCCCCGAGAUGAGUUCUCCCUGAGACUU